CCGGCUUCCCUCAGUCUGUAGAUCUGGGCCUUGAAGGAUGUUUAGGAGGUAGUUAAUCCGUUCCCCAGGAUCUCACCGGAUCCUCCCCAGGGCCAUUGGGACCAGAAACCGCCAUUGCCAUUAAACAGACCAGGCAGAGCAAGAGACGCAUCUCACUUGUCUGCUGAUAAAGCCCCCUCGCUGGCCCUUGGUGGGGCGGUACUCUCUCCCUCUACUUGGUUGCAUCGCACAAUGAGCGCUCCAUUGGAACCCCAAAGACGAAGAGGAAAUCACCAGCACUUCAAACGCCCCCUUGAACCUAUGGGCAGAGCGACUUUGCAGUUUCCAGAAAGAGCACUGGUUUGGAAAGAGACCUUUAGGUCUGAAUUACAGCUCUGCCACUUCCUUGCUUAACCUUUUUCAGCAUAUCAUCCUAAGGUUGAUGAAUGUUACAGGGAAGGAAAAUGAUGAUUUACUGUAUCUUUCUCAUGAGAUGAAUCAGAGAAGCCUGCAGUGAUGGGAAGAUUGACAAGACUGGAAACUCCUUGAGGGCAGGUCUGUGCCUUGCUCACCGUUAGACCCUGAGUGCCUGGUGUGGAGCAGUGGACACUCAGUGAAUGUCUGGGAAUAUCUGAAGGAAGGAGGGAAUGAAGGGAAGAACCCUGUCCCUUUCCUCCAAAGAGUUGAUAAUCAUACUGCGACACACAAACUGUGCGGCACAUAGAGACCGUGGGUGGAGGAAUGAUAAUGAAGGCCCCAUCCACGACUUGGAAAGAAGGCUGGCUGUCUUCUGAGUACUGAAGCCAUGCAUUCACACACCCUGCAAGUGCUUAGCCAUCUGUGAUCGUAAAUCAAGACAUUAAGGGUAGGGCUCAAAAUCCAGAACCCAAACUAGCUGACAAGAGGGUAAUCACUGGAUGGAGACUGCAAUUUAAAACACGGAAACCAGAUGGAUUGUAAUAUUCCCAGUGCAAAAAGUCUGGGCAAAAGAAGGGAGGAGUGGCAAGCUUGGAGCAGAGAACCAGGAAGACCCAAGGGCACAAAACUGGCAAUGUGUGUCCAGCAUUGUCAUUGUCCAGCAAGAGGGGCUCUUGCCAGCGGGCGUGAACAUUGUCACUCCCUUGGCAAGAGCCUUCGCUUCAGUGAGAAGGAGAAUUCCGAAGUAUUUCGGCUGAAAGACCCUUCUUACGUGAUGACCUCAAUCAUUCUCACACACUAAAGUAACCUUCUGAUGUGAAACUAGCUUGGCACAAAGCUUUCUAUGAUUAUCGGGAGGAAAAUAUGGGGAUCACGUUAACUUCAGUGCCCUAGCCUAUGUGACUAUUAAAUAUCUCAUGGGAAACAAAGACAAUGGAAUUGUGGUUGGCUUGUUGGUCUGUUAUGAAUCAUAGUGUCCCUGGGACUGCUCAACUCUGGGAACUGAAUCCAGUUAAGUUUCUUGACCCAAGAAGCUGGAUACCAGAACCUCUGUUAUGGUGACUUUGAGAAGCUGGAAAAACAAUCAGAUGACUCUUGCGCUUACGUAAUUAAGUACGAGCCGUCAUCAAAUGCCUCAGAUGCUUCUAUACAGAACCUGCUGCUCAAAGUUCAGCAACAGUUAUACGUCUGAUACUCAUAUUCUGGCACUGCCACCAUCUAAAAUUACCCUACGUAUUCAUGGAUUUACUGAUGGAUUGCCUGCAAGUUCCAUGGGCGCAAGGACUUUGUUCUGCUCAUCCCAGCAUCCAGAACAGUGUUUGUUGAAUGACUUCACAAUUUACUCCCGGUGAGCCCAGGGAAACGAUCGUCUAUUACA
This is a long non-coding RNA of Equus quagga, 1774 nucleotides long. RefSeq lists it as uncharacterized. The transcript is spliced from 6 exons. Lineage: Eukaryota; Metazoa; Chordata; Mammalia; Perissodactyla; Equidae. The record is from RefSeq and is a predicted model, not a curated record.